AGGCGAAACGGCGCCCCAAGCGCCGUCCGGCCGGGAUGGCUUCCGGCCGCUGAUGAGCCAAGCCGAAA
This 68-nucleotide non-coding RNA is filed under the name Luteitalea sp. The record is from RNAcentral. Lineage: Bacteria; Pseudomonadati; Acidobacteriota; Vicinamibacteria; Vicinamibacterales; Vicinamibacteraceae.